RNAcentral lists this ribosomal RNA (593 nucleotides) under Colletotrichum sp. P28E2. RNAcentral's name for it is "eukaryotic LSU rRNA". The stretch from base 230 to 383 matches the Rfam family "5.8S ribosomal RNA". Lineage: Eukaryota; Fungi; Ascomycota; Sordariomycetes; Glomerellales; Glomerellaceae. The record is from RNAcentral.
AGAGGAAGUAAAAGUCGUAACAAGGUCUCCGUUGGUGAACCAGCGGAGGGAUCAUUACUGAGUUUACGCUCUAUAACCCUUUGUGAACAUACCUAUAACUGUUGCUUCGGCGGGUAGGGUCUCCGUGACCCUCCCGGCCUCCCGCCCCCGGGCGGGUCGGCGCCCGCCGGAGGAUAACCAAACUCUGAUUUAACGACGUUUCUUCUGAGUGGUACAAGCAAAUAAUCAAAACUUUUAACAACGGAUCUCUUGGUUCUGGCAUCGAUGAAGAACGCAGCGAAAUGCGAUAAGUAAUGUGAAUUGCAGAAUUCAGUGAAUCAUCGAAUCUUUGAACGCACAUUGCGCCCGCCAGCAUUCUGGCGGGCAUGCCUGUUCGAGCGUCAUUUCAACCCUCAAGCUCUGCUUGGUGUUGGGGCCCUACAGCUGAUGUAGGCCCUCAAAGGUAGUGGCGGACCCUCCCGGAGCCUCCUUUGCGUAGUAACUUUACGUCUCGCACUGGGAUCCGGAGGGACUCUUGCCGUAAAACCCCCAAUUUUCCAAAGGUUGACCUCGGAUCAGGUAGGAAUACCCGCUGAACUUAAGCAUAUCAAUAA